UUGUCUCUGUUUCUUCUACCAACAGAUAGACAACAACGCUUCCCUUUCCUGAAUCCCUGUAGUUGACACUACAGAGAAAGAGAACCACCAAAAAGAUGAGGAGUCACAUAACGAGAGCUCUCCUUUGUGUCAUGAUUCUACGAAUAUCUGAGGUUCACUCGCUAUCAUUUCCUUGCGAUAAGAAAGUCGCUUUGGUAGCAGCUGCGGGCAUGCUGUCAGCUCUUCUCAUCGUCACAAUCAUCACCAUAAUAGUCAUCCAGUGCAAGAGAAGACAGAGUAAGCACAAAGGCUCUCCAAACCUCUCCAGGCAGCGAGUCAGACCCGUCGUAUGUGAUGCUACACUUGGGUCCCAGGAACACGGACGUCAUCCGGCAAAUGAUAAUAUGGUUAUUGGCCAGUACGACAGUGAGGACCCCUACGAAUAUGUCCAGCCGGAGGACUGGUAUCAUUACCCCCCAGCAGGAUGACGCCAGAGCACCCGAUGUCGAGUUUGGAACAUUCUUGCCAAGAAAUCCCGCCGUCGGCUGCGUCGAGACUAUCAAUGAUAUUUAUGAAAAUUUAGACAGCUUUGAAACUACCAGUGAUAUUUACUAAUCGGGAAACAUCUUCCAGCGGUAGUAAAUACAUUAGGAUGUGUUUAAGUCCCAACUCAUUAUCAAGAAGCCUUAUUGUACCGUACCUAGAGACUAUCAUUUUUUUCCUUUUUCUUUUUUUAGCUUUAAUGAGGUGGUAACAGAAUUAUCACUGACGACGUCUGCUGCCCAUGACUUCUAACAUUCUUCAGCGAUCUUUGUACGUCGAUUAAUAGCUAUUUAUUUGAUUUAAUUGUAACUUUUUCCAUGUAAUUGCAGUCUGAAAAUAUAUGGAUAUAGAUAGCAUAGCAUUGAAAAGAGUGAUACCUCCAUUUGCAAAACUUCAUCUUUUUUAAAACAAAAGUUUUCCCAAACGAAAAUUGCUUUGGAUUAUAGCUCUGAAUUGCAUCACUCAUUGCCGUACGAUGUUUGUUCAAAAAAUAAGAUAAAGUUUUUUGAAACACAUUGUGUUUUGGAUUUAACUCAUUGCAGUACUCAUUCUCUUAUGAAGUUAUUUAAAACAAAAUAGUCAUUGUAGAACAUGACCUUCUCUUUACUGUCAAACUUCCAAGAAGAAGAAAGUAAACAUUAGACAACAUCAAGGGAGCCAUUUGUUGCUGGGACGAAAGGAGAGCUACUACUGUUAUUGAGCAACGUUCACCGACAGAUAACGACUGUAAUUAGUCGUAAUUAAUUACUAGUGUGUUAUGCAAGUCAAUAUCAAGAUGAGUUCCGUAGCAGGAGCAGCGUGGAAGCUCAUGGUGCUCCUCAACCUGCCAUUGCUGGUGCCGUACCAAGUCCAGCUGCCCCUAAACCAUCUGCUGCUGCAGCUAUACAAACUGCACCUGUUUUAGAAGAAUGGCAGACUCCUCUGAAGUAUCGCCGACGACCAA
RNA transcript from Macrobrachium nipponense, 1465 nucleotides. It is a transcript of the gene named alpha-ketoglutarate dehydrogenase component 4-like, with no coding region annotated. The record is from RefSeq and is a predicted model, not a curated record. NCBI's taxonomy places the organism in Eukaryota, Metazoa, Arthropoda, Malacostraca, Decapoda, Palaemonidae. The transcript has 6 exons.